RNAcentral lists this transfer RNA (54 nucleotides) under Ebrechtella tricuspidata. Its description in RNAcentral is "tRNA-Leu". Lineage: Eukaryota; Metazoa; Arthropoda; Arachnida; Araneae; Thomisidae. The record is from RNAcentral.
AAUAUAUUGGCAGAUAAAUGCAUUAGAAUUAGAAUCUAAUUAAUCAAUUCAUUU